AUAAAAUUUAAAGUAUUAUUUAUAAUGUACCAAUUAGUAUAUAUAUUAAACAUAAUUAANGAACUCGACAGCUACUGUGUACGACUGUUUAACAAAAACAUAGCUUUAAGAUAUAAAUAUUUAAAGUUUAGUCUGCCCAGUGGAAUUUCUUAACGGCCGCAGNACCCUGACUGUGCAAAGGUAGCAUAAUCAGUUGGCUUUUAAUUGGAGUCUGGAAUCAACGAAAGCACGUAUAUAUAUUGUCUCACCUAUAAUAUUUAAAAAUUAUUUUAAAGAGUGAAAAUCCUCUUACCCAUUAAAAAUAGACGAGAAGACCCUUUGAAUUUUUAAAACUUAUAUGAUUACAUAUAAUAUUUUUUGUUGGGGCAACAUUAUUUCAUAUAAUAAAUAAAUCUUUAUUUUAAUAAUAUAUAGCGAUAAAUUUAAUCUU
RNAcentral lists this ribosomal RNA (430 nucleotides) under Agathylla lamellosa. RNAcentral's name for it is "partial 16S large subunit ribosomal RNA". The stretch from base 82 to 231 matches the Rfam family "Archaeal large subunit ribosomal RNA", at positions 1892 to 2086 of the family's 2987-position model. The record is from RNAcentral. Lineage: Eukaryota; Metazoa; Mollusca; Gastropoda; Stylommatophora; Clausiliidae.